CAGGGUUUCCUAAUGUAAUAGUCAAGGUGGAAGAAGAGGAAAAGCUGAAUGAGCGUGAAGUAGAGACUUUCUCAAGGACCAGCUCAGGAUUUCUGGACAUUGCCAUAAAGUCAGAGAAGGAAGAAGGGUUUUGCAACCAGGGAUCGGAGGAAAGCAGAGAUGCUGCUCUUCGCCAGUCAGGAUUUCUUGAUGUUGUCGUAAAGCCAGAGGAGGAAGAGCAGACGUGCAAACAGGAAUCCGUAGAAAGUGCAAGAGUUGCCUGGGACC
Molecule: non-coding RNA, 267 nt
Organism: Pogona vitticeps (central bearded dragon)
Lineage: Eukaryota; Metazoa; Chordata; Lepidosauria; Squamata; Agamidae
Source: RefSeq, a predicted model, not a curated record